RNAcentral lists this transfer RNA (77 nucleotides) under Candidatus Scatovicinus merdipullorum. Its description in RNAcentral is "tRNA-Pro". It matches the Rfam family "tRNA". Rfam says of the family: Transfer RNA (tRNA) molecules are approximately 80 nucleotides in length. Their secondary structure includes four short double-helical elements and three loops (D, anti-codon, and T loops). The record is from RNAcentral. Lineage: Bacteria; Bacillati; Bacillota; Clostridia; Eubacteriales; Oscillospiraceae. RNAcentral also lists the same sequence under 2 other names.
CGGGAUGUAGCGCAGUUUGGUAGCGCGCCUGCUUUGGGAGCAGGAUGCCGCAGGUUCGAAUCCUGUCAUCCCGACCA